UGAGCAAUCUGCCCUUCUCUUCGGAAUAAGCGUUGGAAACGACGUCUAAUGCCGAAUACGACCUCCUUUCGCAUGAUCGGAGGUGGAAAGCUCCGGCGGAGAAGGAUGAGCUCGCGGCCUAUCAGCUAGUUGGUGUGGGUAAUGGCCCACCAAGGCGACGACGGGUAGCCGGCCUGAGAGGGUGACCGGCCACACUGGGACUGAGGCACGGCCCAGACUCCGUACGGGAGGNAGCG
RNAcentral lists this ribosomal RNA (236 nucleotides) under uncultured bacterium. Its description in RNAcentral is "partial 16S ribosomal RNA". It matches the Rfam family "Bacterial small subunit ribosomal RNA", at positions 118 to 353 of the family's 1533-position model. The record is from RNAcentral.